CAAAUUUGAAGGCCCAAUAUUAGCCUGCCGACAACUGCGCGUACAAGCACGCGCUGAAACGCUCGAUAGUCUUUUUGGGAUAUAACAAACCUCUGUUCGCCGUCUUCCAUCAAUCGAUCGAUUUUUAAUUUUUUGUGUUUCCGAUGAAUCUUCCGAUGCGUUGCAGUUUUUAAACUCGAUCGGAAUUCAAGUUCCUUUAUCCCUUCCCCUACAAAUUCAAUUAUUAUUUUUCAGAUAUUUGAUCAUCGGCGUCGGUCAGGCGAAUUCCAGCUCCGAUCACAUUCCGGUGUGAGCUGG
This 297-nucleotide unclassified non-coding RNA is filed under the name Hevea brasiliensis (rubber tree). Lineage: Eukaryota; Viridiplantae; Streptophyta; Magnoliopsida; Malpighiales; Euphorbiaceae. The record is from RNAcentral.